GAAGUUUGCAUAUACGCCAUCUUCCAAAUCUGGAGUCAAUUGCAGAAGAUGGGGGUUUGCCUCCCAACCUCCGAUAUUUUAGCAUUCAGAAUUGUGAGAGACUGAGGGCUUCAUCUUCAUCAGUGGGAGACUACUGUAACUGGGGUUUGCAAGCACUCGUCUCCCUUGAAGAAUUUAAAAUUGGUGGCAGGGGAAGUGAUGAAAUCUUGGAGACGUUGCUCAAGCAACAGCUGCUCCCUACCACUCUUCGCACUCUCUGGAUCGAGGAACUUUCAACUCUGAAAUCUUUGGAUGGAAAGGGACUUGCACACCUUACUGUUCUUCGAAUAUCUACUAUUAGGUGUAAAAGUCUGGAAUUCCUGCCAGGAGAGACACUUCAACACCUCACUUCUCUUCAACAGCUAUAUAUUAAUGACUGUCCAAAUCUCCAAUUCCUGCCAGAAAAGGCACUUCAACACCUCACUUCUCUUCAAAAGCUAUAUAUUUAUGACUGUCCGAGUCUCCAAUUCCUGCCAGAAGAGGGUCUGCCGCCAUCUCUUUCUUAUCUGAGCAUCUCCAAGUGUUCUGCCCUGGAGAAAAGGUAUCAGAAUAAGACAGGACAAGAUCAUUGGGCCAGCAUAUCUCACAUUCCAUUCAUCAAGAUAAAUCAUAUGAUGAUAUGACCCUCUCUCUUUAUUGCCUUUGGAUAUUUCACUCUCAACUCUCAAAUCAAACUCAGGUGAGGACAGCACCUUCUCUUGGAAAGCUUUUCAUUUGCAAGGUUCCUUUACGUGUCAUUUCCAAGAAGUAUCUUGCUGAGCUGAGGUAUGGAAACAGAAAGCACUUUGGUUAACAUCCAUAUUGAAUAGUGGUGAGAAGAAACAGGAUUUCACAAUCGGAUGCUGAACCUGAACACAUAAUGUAUCAGAAAACACAUGAAGGUAUCAAUGUUGGGGACCUCUAAUCACUGUCACUUUUAGCUUGUAUGUCUCAAACACCGAAUUUGAAGUUCACCGACAAUUUCUUAGAAGCUUAUGAGAGCUCUUUUUAUUUGCGAGGUGUCUUUACAUGAGCUUAUUUGCAAGGUUUCAUCCACACAAUUUGAAGUUCACCGACAAUUUCUCAGAAGCUUAUGACAUUAUUGCGUUGUGUCCAAAAGUGACAUACUAAUGUAGGAGAUUAGAAUUCCCACCUCACGAGAUGUUGCUCAAAUUGACAUCGCUCGAGUUUUUGUGUGUACAAAAUAGCUGUGAUUCAAUGAGGUCGUUCCCGUUGAGCCUUUUUCCUAAACUCUCGGUUCUUAUAAUUUGGGAGUGAGAAUCUAGAAUCCCUUUCCAUUGAAGAAAGAGUUGAUGAGAAUCUCAGUCAUCUCAGUACCUUGUCUAUCAAUGACUGUCCAGAACUGGUGUCUUUUUCCCAAUGCAUUCACACCCUCACAGCACUGGAGAUGACUGAACUUCCAAAUUUAGUGUCAUUUGCAGAAGGCGGUUUAUUUCUGCAUUCAAAAUUUUGACAGACUGGGGCUUCAGUGGGAGAGUACUGGGGUUUGCAAGGCCUCUUCUCCCUUCAACACUUUUCAAUUGGUGGCAGGGGAAGUGACGAUUUCUUGGAGACGUUGCUCAAGGAACAGCUGCUCCCACUCUUCACUCUCUUCACAUCUGGGGACUUUCAAGUCUGAAAUCUUUGGACGGAAAGGGACUUGGACACCUCACUUCUCUUGAAGAGAUAUAUAUUAGUGAGUGUGACAGUAUCCAAUUCCUGCCAGAAGAGGGUUUCCCGCCAUUUCUUUCGUUUCUGAGAAUCUCCAACUGUUCUGGCCUGGAGAAAAGGUGUGAGAAUAAGAAAGAUUGGACAAGAUUGGGCCAACAUAUCUCACAUUCCUUGCCUCGACAUAAAUGAUAUUGCUUUUCAAUAUUUCACUCUCAACUCUCAAAUCAAACAAAGGUAUGUACUUCAAAUAACUGCUUUAACUGGUAUAUAGCCUUUUGUUUUUCUACAAAAACAAUUGUCACGAUGUGGAGAAACGGAAAGGUUCACCUGGAAUAUUCAAUUGGCACAUUCUUACAUACAGGCACGGAGUGUACAGCAUUUUUUGGUCUAGCUUAUCCAGUAGAUAACUUGUCC
This is a non-coding RNA of Prunus avium (sweet cherry), 2103 nucleotides long. NCBI's taxonomy places the organism in Eukaryota, Viridiplantae, Streptophyta, Magnoliopsida, Rosales, Rosaceae. The record is from RefSeq and is a predicted model, not a curated record.